RNAcentral lists this ribosomal RNA (427 nucleotides) under uncultured archaeon. Its description in RNAcentral is "bacterial SSU rRNA". It matches the Rfam family "Archaeal small subunit ribosomal RNA", at positions 474 to 903 of the family's 1478-position model. The record is from RNAcentral.
AACCAGCUCUUCAAGUGGUCGGGAUAAUUAUUGGGCUUAAAGUGUCCGUAGCCGGUUUAGUAAGUUCCUGGUAAAAUCGGGUAGCUUAACUAUCCGCGUGCUAGGAAUACUGCUAUACUAGAGGGUGGGAGAGGUCUGAGGUACUAUAGGGGUAGGGGUGAAAUCUUAUAAUCCUUGUAGGACCACCAGUGGCGAAGGCGUCAGACUGGAACGCGCCUGACGGUGAGGGACGAAAGCCAGGGGAGCGAACCGGAUUAGAUACCCGGGUAGUCCUGGCCGUAAACGAUGCAUACUAGGUGAUGGUACGGCCGUGAGCCGUAUCAGUGCCGUAGGGAACCGUUAAGUGUGCCGCCUGGGAAGUACGGCCGCAAGGCUAAAACUUAAGGAAUUGGCGGGGGAGCACCACAAGGGGUGAAGCCUGCGGUUC